RNAcentral lists this ribosomal RNA (367 nucleotides) under uncultured eukaryote. RNAcentral describes it as "partial 18S ribosomal RNA". It matches the Rfam family "Eukaryotic small subunit ribosomal RNA", at positions 592 to 976 of the family's 1831-position model. The record is from RNAcentral.
CAAUAGCGUAUAUUAACGUUGUUGCAGUUAAAAAGCUCGUAGUUGGAUUUCUGGAGGGAGCGUCGGCCCGUAUUUACGAGUGCGUGACGUCUCUGUCCAUCCUUGCGGGAAGGCACGGCAUUGAUUUGUUGUGUCGGAUCGCAUCAUUUACUGUGAAAAAAUUAGAGUGUUCAAAGCAGGCUUUCGCUUGAAUACAUUAGCAUGGAAUAAUAAGAUAGGACUUUGGUGCUAUUUUGUUGGUUGAGCCUAAAGUAAUGAUUAAUAGGGAUAGUUGGGGGGCACCUGUAUUGCGUUGUCAGAGGUGAAAUUCUUGGAUUUACGCAAGACAAACAGCUGCGAAAGCGUCUGCCAAGGAUGUUUUCAUUAA